RNAcentral lists this unclassified non-coding RNA (487 nucleotides) under Hevea brasiliensis (rubber tree). Lineage: Eukaryota; Viridiplantae; Streptophyta; Magnoliopsida; Malpighiales; Euphorbiaceae. The record is from RNAcentral.
UGCCGUUAGAUUGAGAGCUUGUAGAGAAAGCCGAAAGAAAGAUUAGGGCUAUAUGAGUAAACCUGACGGUAUGAACAAGCUGCAGUAGGGGGUGUGUUUGUCCGGAGAUUCAAGAUUGGAGUGAAGUCUGAACCUUUAUCUGCGUCAAGAAACUUUUCUGGGACCAACAUGCAACAGGGUGGGAGAUCUGAAGCCGAGGUGACUUGGGAGGAUCAGCAGAAUAUCAACAAGUUCGGUAGAUUAAACAACCGAUUUCACGAGCUGGAUGAUGAAGUCGAGAUCGCCAAGGAAACAAAUGAGAAUCUGGAGGAUGCAAGUAAUGAAUUGAUUCUUACUGAUGAGGAGGUGGUUCGUUUUCAAAUAGGAGAAGUCUUUGCUCAUGUUCCAAAGGAAGAAGUUGAAACCAGGAUAGAACAGAUGAGAUAGAACAGAUGAAAGAGGUGAGCAGUAAAAACUUGGAAAAACUUGAGGAAGAGAAGGAUUCGGU